Molecule: transfer RNA, 76 nt
Filed under: Hyphomonas sp.
Lineage: Bacteria; Pseudomonadati; Pseudomonadota; Alphaproteobacteria; Hyphomonadales; Hyphomonadaceae
Also listed under: 10 other names
Description: tRNA-Ala
Rfam family: tRNA
About the family: Transfer RNA (tRNA) molecules are approximately 80 nucleotides in length. Their secondary structure includes four short double-helical elements and three loops (D, anti-codon, and T loops). Further hydrogen bonds mediate the characteristic L-shaped molecular structure. tRNAs have two regions of fundamental functional importance: the anti-codon, which is responsible for specific mRNA codon recognition, and the 3' end, to which the tRNAs corresponding amino acid is attached (by aminoacyl-tRNA synthetases). tRNAs cope with the degeneracy of the genetic code in two manners: having more than one tRNA (with a specific anti-codon) for a particular amino acid; and 'wobble' base-pairing, i.e. permitting non-standard base-pairing at the 3rd anti-codon position.
Source: RNAcentral
GGGGCCAUAGCUCAGUUGGGAGAGCGCCUGAUUUGCAUUCAGGAGGCCGUCGGUUCGACUCCGUCUGGCUCCACCA